Molecule: ribosomal RNA, 449 nt
Filed under: uncultured bacterium
Lineage: Bacteria
Description: bacterial SSU rRNA
Rfam family: Bacterial small subunit ribosomal RNA
Source: RNAcentral
GUGGGGAAUCUUGCGCAAUGGGCGAAAGCCUGACGCAGCGACGCCGCGUGAGUGAUGAAGGCCUUCGGGUUGUAAAGCUCUGUGGAGAGGGACGAAUAAGCGUUGGCCAAUAUCCAACGUGAUGACGGUACCUCCUUAGCAAGCACCGGCUAACUCUGUGCCAGCAGCCGCGGUAAGACAGAGGGUGCAAACGUUGUUCGGAAUUACUGGGCGUAAAGCGCGUGUAGGCUGCUCAGAAAGUCGGAUGUGAAAGCCCUGGGCUUAACCUAGGAAGUGCAUUCGAAACUUCUGAGCUUGAGUUCUGGAGAGGAAGGCGGAAUUCUCGGUGUAGAGGUGAAAUUCGUAGAUAUCGAGAGGAACACCGGUGGCGAAGGCGGCCUUCUGGACAGUGACUGACGCUGAGACGCGAAAGCGUGGGGAGCAAACAGGAUUAGAUACCCGAGUAGUCC